GGUUUUUUAAUAUAUUUUUAAUAUGUUCAAUUUUUAUUUUUAAAAUGUAAUUAAUUAAAUUUAUUAGACACAAAAAUUUUUACUAUUUUACAUUGUCUAAUAUUAAAAAAACAGACUAAAUGUCUGUAUAAAUAUAAAAUAUAACAACAAAACAAAUUAAUUCAAACUACUUCGAAUAUAUCCAAAGAUAACAUUUGAUUAAAAUAAUUAAUUCAAAUUUACUAAAUAUUC
This 231-nucleotide transfer RNA is filed under the name Pneumocystis jirovecii. RNAcentral describes it as "tRNA-Pseudo(TTT)". Lineage: Eukaryota; Fungi; Ascomycota; Pneumocystomycetes; Pneumocystales; Pneumocystaceae. The record is from RNAcentral.